RNAcentral lists this unclassified non-coding RNA (255 nucleotides) under Hevea brasiliensis (rubber tree). The record is from RNAcentral. Lineage: Eukaryota; Viridiplantae; Streptophyta; Magnoliopsida; Malpighiales; Euphorbiaceae.
GGUGGUUCAAUUGACGUUUAAUCACCAAAAUUUCUGUUUCAGUUUGGUGGACAGAUCAUUACUUUAACUAGUAAUGAUUGAUGAACAACAUAGAACCUUGUUUGUUUUCAAUGUUUUUUAAUCACUGUUAAAGAUUCAUCCAGUCCUUGUCAAUUUCCCAUAUCGAUCUCUCUUCAAAACCUCCAAUCUUUCAGAACUUAGAAGAGAAAAAUCACAAAGCCUAAAGAAAACAUUGAAAACAAACAAGGUUCUAUG